GCCGCUGCGGUUUGACACAUUUCUCUGAUCAUGUGAUUUCAGAAUUGUGCAAGUUGCUGGGUGUGGCCUUUGUAGACUGAGCAUGCUCAGAGUAGCUUUAGCUCCAGGCAGUAAAAGAUAACGGCAAGCUACCGCUUCCUGCUGCUACUCUACCUUUGUCUACUCUACCUUCGUCUUACUGCCGUUUAUCCACAAGCUGUGCUGCGCUUUGGUCACGCUACCUGUGAGAGAGCUAAGACAAGAUAUAAAAGAAACACAUUAACAGGACAACGGAAGGCUUCAAUCCAAGGAGGAAUGUCCCGUCACACGGUUAAAAAAUAAUCAUAAAAAGAAAUCAGGCCCUCGGCCACAGCACCAGAGGACACUAAAUAGCAAACAACAGAAUUACCCAGAGGCAGGCAAGGGUCAAGUCUAAGUACACCAUCCAGCUGAGCAGAUCAUUAACAGAAAAAGCCAAACAAGAGACAGAGUCGUCCUGACCCCACAUUGUGUUGCUUAGCAGCAGAAGAUAAAACUUUGAUGAAGGCCUGCAAUCCAAACCAAAAGCUCGGAAUUCAAACUGCUCCGCAGACUCUGCAGAGGACACCUUUAACUUGGGGGGAGAAACUUUGAAACAAGUCCAGAAGAGAAGACCGAGCAAAGAACUGCAGCCGCAACAUCUUGUCAACAGAUUGUGAAAAAGUGGUUAAGCAUUUUUGCCGUAAUGAAGGACGAUAACAGGACAAUAGCAGGAGCGGUUAUCGGAGGAGUAGUUGGACUCUCGCUCUC
This is a long non-coding RNA of Alosa alosa (allis shad), 768 nucleotides long. RefSeq lists it as uncharacterized. The transcript has 3 exons. The record is from RefSeq and is a predicted model, not a curated record. NCBI's taxonomy places the organism in Eukaryota, Metazoa, Chordata, Actinopteri, Clupeiformes, Clupeidae.